GCCUACGGGGGGCAGCAGUGGGGAAUAUUGGGCGAUGGGCGCAAGCCUGACCCAGCAACGCCGCGUGAAGGAAGAAGGCUUUCGGGUUGUAAACUUCUUUUCUCAGGGACGAAGCAAGUGACAGUACCUGAGGAAUAAGCCACGGCUAACUACGUGCCAGCAGCCGCGGUAAUACGUAGGUGGCAAGCGUUAUCCGGAUUUACUGGGUGUAAAGGGCGUGUAGGCGGGAAAGCAAGUCAGAUGUGAAAACCACGGGCUCAACCUGUGGCCUGCAUUUGAAACUGUUUUUCUUGAGUACUGGAGAG
Molecule: ribosomal RNA, 305 nt
Filed under: uncultured bacterium
Lineage: Bacteria
Description: bacterial SSU rRNA
Rfam family: Bacterial small subunit ribosomal RNA
Source: RNAcentral